This 108-nucleotide non-coding RNA is filed under the name human gut metagenome. The record is from RNAcentral.
CUUGGGGAGCUUGAUGGCGCGCGGUUGCGCCGCUUGAAGGCUGAGAGGGAGUUUUGGCUCCGACCCAUAGAACCUGACAUGGAUAAUGCCAACGAAGGGAGAAUUAUG